This 1002-nucleotide ribosomal RNA is filed under the name Ceratocystis fimbriata. RNAcentral describes it as "LSU rRNA". It matches the Rfam family "Eukaryotic large subunit ribosomal RNA", at positions 91 to 1121 of the family's 3401-position model. The record is from RNAcentral. Lineage: Eukaryota; Fungi; Ascomycota; Sordariomycetes; Microascales; Ceratocystidaceae.
GAGCGAAGCGGCAACAGCUCAAAUUUGAAAUCUGGCUACUUUGUAGUCCGAGUUGUAAUUUGUAGAGGAUGCUUUUGGUGAGGUGCCUUCCGAGUUCCCUGGAACGGGACGCCAGAGAGGGUGAGAGCCCCGUACGGUUGGAUACCAAACCUUUGUAUAGCUCCUUCAACGAGUCGAGUAGUUUGGGAAUGCUGCUCUAAAUGGGAGGUAUAUCUCUUCUAAAGCUAAAUAUAGGCUAGAGACCGAUAGCGCACAAGUAGAGUGAUCGAAAGAUGAAAAGCACUUUGAAAAGAGAGUUAAACAGCACGUGAAAUUGUUGAAAGGGAAGCGCCUAUGACCAGACUUGUUUCUUUCAGUUUUGUUAGUUUUCGGACUGCUUUACUCUGUUAGUACAGGCCAACAUCAGUUUGUUGUCGGGGAGAAAGGCUUAGGGAAUGUGGCUCCUUCGGGAGUGUUAUAGCCCUUUGCAUAAUACCCUUCGGCAGACUGAGGACCGCGCUUCGGCAAGGAUGUUGGCGUAAUGGUCAUCAGCGACCCGUCUUGAAACACGGACCAAGGAGUCAACCUUAUGUGCGAGUGUUUGGGUGUAAAACCCCAGCGCGUAAUGAACGUGAACGUAGGUGAGAGCUUCGGCGCAUCAUCGACCGAUUCUGAUGUUCUCGGAUGGAUUUGAGUAAGAGCAUAUAGGGUUGGACCCGAAAGAAGGUGAACUAUGCUUGUAUAGGGUGAAGCCAGAGGAAACUCUGGUGGAGGCUCGCAGCGGUUCUGACGUGCAAAUCGAUCGUCAAAUAUGAGCAUGGGGGCGAAAGACUAAUCGAACCUUCUAGUAGCUGGUUCCAGCCGAAGUUUCCCUCAGGAUAGCAGUGUUGAACUUCAGUUUUAUGAGGUAAAGCGAAUGAUUAGGGACUCGGGGGCGCUAUAUUGCCUUCAUCCAUUCUCAAACUUUAAAUAUGUAAGAAGCCCUUGUUACUUAAUUGAACGUGGGCAUUCGAAUGUCUCAAC